GGGGAUGUAGCUCAGUGGUAGAGUGCUUGCCUAGUAUGCAGAAGCCCUAGGUUAAACCCAUCACCA
RNAcentral lists this transfer RNA (66 nucleotides) under Ictidomys tridecemlineatus (thirteen-lined ground squirrel). RNAcentral describes it as "Spermophilus tridecemlineatus (thirteen-lined ground squirrel) tRNA". It matches the Rfam family "tRNA". Rfam says of the family: Transfer RNA (tRNA) molecules are approximately 80 nucleotides in length. Lineage: Eukaryota; Metazoa; Chordata; Mammalia; Rodentia; Sciuridae. The record is from Rfam by way of RNAcentral.